RNAcentral lists this ribosomal RNA (483 nucleotides) under uncultured bacterium. RNAcentral's name for it is "partial 16S ribosomal RNA". It matches the Rfam family "Bacterial small subunit ribosomal RNA", at positions 28 to 523 of the family's 1533-position model. The record is from RNAcentral.
GACGAACGCUGGCGGCGUGCUUAACACAUGCAAGUCGAACGAUGAAGCCGGAGCUUGCUCCGGCGGAUUAGUGGCGAACGGGUGAGUAACACGUGAGCAAUCUGCCCUUGACUCUGGGAUAACCGCGGGAAACCGUAGCUAAUACAGGAUACGACACCUUGGGCCAUCCCAGGGUGUGGAAAGACUUGCGGACAAGGAUGAGCUCGCGGCCUAUCAGCUAGUUGGUGAGGUAAUGGCUACCCAAGGCGACGACGGGUAGCCGGCCUGAGAGGGGGACCGGCCACACGGGAACUGAGACACGGUCCAGACUCCUACGGGAGGCAGCAGUGGGGAAUAUUGCACAAUGGGCGAAAGCCUGAUGCAGCAACGCCGCGUGAGGGAUGAAGGCCUUCGGGUUGUAAACCUCUUUUAGCAGGGAAGAAGCGAAAGUGACGGUACCUGCAGAAAAAGCACCGGCUAACUACGUGCCAGCCGCCGCGGUAA